CGCACUAUGAAGCGAAUGGGGGGGUCGCAGUGAAAAGGUCCGGGCAACUGUUUAACAAAAACACAGGUCUAUGCUAAGCUGAAAGGCGACGUAUAUGGGCUGACACCUGCCCAGUGCCGGAAGGUUAAGGGGGAGGAGUGAGAGCUUCGAACUGAAGCCCCGGUGAAACGGCGGCCGUAACAAUAACGGUCCUAAGGUAGCGAAAUUCCUUGUCGGGUAAGUUCCGACCUGCACGAAUGGUGUAAUGAUCUGGACGCUGUCUUGGCGGUAGGCUUGGCGAAAUUGUAGUAUGGGUGAAGAUACCCAUUACCCGCAGGAGGACGGAAAGACCCCAUGGAGCUUUACUGUAGCUUGGUAUUGGGUUUUGAUUAUGUGUGUAUAGGAUAGUUGGGAGACUGUGAGAUAAUGCCGCUAGGUGUUAAGGAGUCGUCGGUGGAAUACCAACCACACAUCGUUGAAAUUCUAAUCUGGGAAGUGAAUUCUUGGAGACAGUGCUAGGUGGGCAGUUUGACUGGGGGC
Molecule: ribosomal RNA, 519 nt
Filed under: uncultured bacterium
Lineage: Bacteria
Description: bacterial LSU rRNA
Rfam family: Bacterial large subunit ribosomal RNA
Source: RNAcentral